This 472-nucleotide ribosomal RNA is filed under the name uncultured bacterium. RNAcentral describes it as "bacterial SSU rRNA". It matches the Rfam family "Bacterial small subunit ribosomal RNA", at positions 328 to 792 of the family's 1533-position model. The record is from RNAcentral.
CCGCCAGACUCCUACGGGAGGCAGCAGUGGGGAAUAUUGCACAAUGGGCGCAAGCCUGAUGCAGCCAUGCCGCGUGUAUGAAGAAGGCCUUCGGGUUGUAAAGUACUUUCAGCGGGGAGGAAGGCGAUAAGGUUAAUAACCUUGUCGAUUGACGUUACCCGCAGAAGAAGCACCGGCUAACUCCGUGCCAGCAGCCGCGGCAAUACGGAGGGUGCAAGCGUUAUUCGGAAUUACUGGGCGUAAAGCGCGCGCAGGCGGUCUGGCAAGUCGGAUGUGAAAGCCCGGGGCUCAACCUGGGAACUGCAUUGGAAACUGGCAGGCUGGAGUCUGGUAGAGGGGGGUAGAAUUCCAGGUGUAGCGGUGAAAUGCGUAGAGAUCAGGAGGAAUACCGGUGGCGAAGGCGGCCCCCUGGACAAAGACUGACGCUCAGGUGCGAAAGCGUGGGGAGCAAACAGGAUUAGAUACCCCGGUA